This is a long non-coding RNA of Fukomys damarensis (Damara mole-rat), 335 nucleotides long. RefSeq lists it as uncharacterized. The transcript has 3 exons. NCBI's taxonomy places the organism in Eukaryota, Metazoa, Chordata, Mammalia, Rodentia, Bathyergidae. The record is from RefSeq and is a predicted model, not a curated record.
CUAUUCAGUUGCUAGGAUUCAUCUCUCAUAUUUCAGCUUUGAAGUUUUUAUCUUUGUUUUCUGGCUUUACUUUUAACCACCAAAUUCUACAUUACUGGGGACAGGAAGUAUCCUAGAACUGUGGAGGCCUCAAGGUUCCAGCCGAGAACUUACUGCUGCUCUCCAUGGUUCCAGUAGGAGCCCCCCGCAGUCCUGUAUUUCAGAACUCUCGAAAAGAAAGGCAAGAUGUCAAGGAUACAGACAGAAAGCUGCUGAGAGCAAGCUGCUGGAACAGACACUUCCCCAGGAACUGAAUCGGCCAGAACCUUGAGCUUGGACUUUCCCAGGCACCAGGA